This 305-nucleotide ribosomal RNA is filed under the name uncultured bacterium. RNAcentral's name for it is "bacterial SSU rRNA". It matches the Rfam family "Bacterial small subunit ribosomal RNA", at positions 338 to 640 of the family's 1533-position model. The record is from RNAcentral.
CCUACGGGAGGCAGCAGUGAGGAAUAUUGGUCAAUGGUCGGGAGACUGAACCAGCCAAGCCGCGUGAGGGAUGAAGGUACAGAGUAUCGUAAACCUCUUUUGUCAGGGAACAAAGGCGGGGACGUGUCCCCGGAUGAGUGUACCUGAAGAAAAAGCAUCGGCUAACUCCGUGCCAGCAGCCGCGGUAAUACGGAAGGUCCGGGCGUUAUCCGGAUUUAUUGGGUUUAAAGGGAGCGUAGGCCGGCUUUUAAGUCAGCUGUGAAAGUCCGCGGCUCAACCGUGGAAUUGCAGUUGAAACUGGAGGC